UCAUGUAGGGAGGUCGUGAAUCUUGCCAGAAAAAUUUGUUUGUAGUAAGUACACAAGUAUCGAACUAUUGGAGACCGGAAUACAGGCGUCGUAUACAUUCCAAAACCAGUGAUCCUUAUAAAGAGAAACAUAGAAAAUACGAGUACUGUUAUAAAUAAUUUUGAAGCACCGAGACGGUCAAGUAGAAAAAAUUAAACUUAUAUUCAAACAGUUAUUGUACCAGUGCAGCGUUAAACAAUUACUAAGGAUUUGGGACAUUAUUCUUCUUUACCUGGCUACAUAACUGAUGCUGAUGAAGAGGAGGUUGAACCACCAUUUUUCCGCCACCAAUAAAAUGUGUAAUUGAAGAAGUAAAAUCAAUAGCAAAUGAGAAAAAAAAAUAGAAUCCAUAUUCUAUGCCGUUACUAAUUAAAGCUGUGUGUUUGGCCUCCAAUGAUAUUCAUGUAUUGAGCAUAAUAAUAUGAAUGUCAAUUCAAAAGCAUAAUAUGUUAUAAUGCUGAUGUACAGGUGUCAAAAAAAAAAAAUUAAGAACGUACUAGAUAUGUGAAAUGUUCAUUCUAAAAUUAAUUUUAACUUGUGAUUUAAAUCCAAUAUUACAAGCAAAUAGGUACUGUAAAUUUAAUAUUUUUUCAGGUUAUAUAAAUAAGUUGCCUGUCCCUAGUUUUCUAGCAUCCUUGUACCACUAUUCCAUUCACCUAAGAUUUAAAUACUUAUCAGUGAUCAUAAAAUAAUCGUACAAAACUCAAUCUUAGUUCUGAUUUAAAAUAAAGACCUAAAAAUGUACCCAUGUUGUCAUUAAUAAAUUAAACAAUUUAAAAAAGGAUAAUGAUAAAAAAAAUAAUAAAUUCCUUAUUUACUUUUUUAGAAAUCUUAAUUUACUACCCACUUUUGACUGCCAGAUCACAUAUGAAUAUCUUCUUCUAAACUACCUUCAAAAUAACCUAUACGUCAUUUUGUAUAGACAAGUCCAAAUAUUCCAGAACAUUUUUCAAUAUUAUAAAUAUUUUCUAAAAGAUUUUCCAACUCAUUCUUUGUUCUAAUAGGCUUAUUAUAUUUGUAUUUUUUUCCAUAUAUUUGUAUAACUGGCACAAGGCUAUU
Long non-coding RNA from Acyrthosiphon pisum (pea aphid), 1098 nucleotides. RefSeq lists it as uncharacterized. The transcript is spliced from 4 exons. The record is from RefSeq and is a predicted model, not a curated record. NCBI's taxonomy places the organism in Eukaryota, Metazoa, Arthropoda, Insecta, Hemiptera, Aphididae.